Long non-coding RNA from Nasonia vitripennis (jewel wasp), 635 nucleotides. RefSeq lists it as uncharacterized. NCBI's taxonomy places the organism in Eukaryota, Metazoa, Arthropoda, Insecta, Hymenoptera, Pteromalidae. The transcript has 2 exons. The record is from RefSeq and is a predicted model, not a curated record.
ACAGCCGAUCCUCUUCGAAGUGAGAGCAGCACCGACGAAUCCGCUACACCUGUAUAUACUGUGUAUAGAUCGGGACCAAGCUGAAGCUCGGCAACGGAAAAAUCGGAUAGUCCUGAUCUGUUAACCGCACAGUCAAGCCGUGUUCGAUGUAUCAUCGGACCAAGAGAUAAACUUAGAAGUGUGUAUUUCAUUCGCGUCUGAGGAACAAUUUCGCGAACAAGCUAGUGCGUAUUUAUGCUUGUUCAAAAUUUGAAGAUCCCAUUGCGCAUCGCCAUCCUCGUGUUUACAAAGUCAAUCAACCUAUAAGACACCCAUCAUCACCGGCCCGCGACCUCACACGCCCCACAGCAUACAGCAGCCUGAUUCAUCGCGGAAAGGAAUCAACGGACUGUGUCGACUUUCAAUUACGUGUCUCGAAAUCUGAAAAACUCUCGGUCUUUACCCCUCGUAGUAUAGCGCGGCUCGCCCCACCGCAGAGAUAAUGAGCGAAAAAGAGAGCUCUUGAGAGCGGCAAAUUCGGAAGAAGAAGAAGAAGACGAGGAAGACGAGGAGGCAGAAUAGAAGCAGAAGUAACAGGCGUACAUAAGACCCAGAGCGAGAAGAAGAUGAAGAAGAAGAAGGAAGGAAGGAAACAA